Molecule: ribosomal RNA, 254 nt
Filed under: uncultured bacterium
Lineage: Bacteria
Description: partial 16S ribosomal RNA
Rfam family: Bacterial small subunit ribosomal RNA
Source: RNAcentral
UACGAAGGGGGCUAGCGUUGUUCGGAAUCACUGGGCGUAAAGCGCACGCAGGCGGAUCGUUAAGUCAGGGGUGAAAUCCCGAGGCUCAACCUCGGAACUGCCUUUGAUACUGGCGAUCUUUGAGUCCGGGAGAGGUGAGUGGAACUCCGAGUGUAGAGGUGAAAUUCGUAGAUAUUCGGAAGAACACCAGUGGCGAAGGCGACUUACUGGACGACUGUUGACGCUGAGGUGCGAAAGCGUGGGGAGCAAACAGG